Molecule: long non-coding RNA, 2499 nt
Filed under: Homo sapiens (human)
Lineage: Eukaryota; Metazoa; Chordata; Mammalia; Primates; Hominidae
Description: HSALNT0079654
Source: RNAcentral
CCUUUUGAUGGCCUUUGCAGUGAAUGACUCCAGCUUCCUUUGGAAGUAAAGCGGCCUUGAGCAGAGUUUUUAUUAAAGAGGCAUUAAUGAUGGAGGACCCUUGCGUAGUGAGGAAACCUCUUUCAGCCUAUAUAACAGCAUGGUGGUGCAGAAUAUGAAAGGCAUAUUUAGAGUCAGUAUAAAUAUUGAUGCGUAGUCCUUUUGCAAGAGUGAGGGCUUGAGUUAAGGCAACUAAUUUGGCUUGCUGAGAGGUAGUGGAGGGGGACAGAGUGGUAGCCUCAAUAACAGAUGUGGAAGAUACUAUUGCAUAGUCUGCCUUUGCUGGUGAGUGGCGAUUAGGCCUGGUGGAACUGCCAUCAAUAAACCAAAUGUGAUCAGGGUGAGAAACAGGGAAGAAGGAAAUGUGGGGAAAUGGGGUGAACAUCAGGUGGAUCAGAGAGAUGCAGUAAUGAGGGUCAGGUGUGGUAUCCAGAAUAAUGUGGGAGGCUAGAUUGAAGUUCGUGCCAGGAACAAUGGUAAUUGUGGGAGACUUAACAAAGAGUGAGUACAGCUGAAGGAGCCAGGGAGCGUCAGGUGUGAGGAAGAAAAUAGAUCUUGGAAGUUAUGAGAAAUGUAGAGAGUGAGUUGAGCACAGUUUGUGAUUUUUAGGGCCUCUAAAAGUAUUAAAGCAGUGGCAGCCGUUGCACGCAGACAUGAGGGCUAGGCUAAAACAGUAAGGUCAAGUUGUUUGGGCCGAAAGGCUACAGGGUGCGGUUCUGGCUCCUGUGUAAGAAUUCUGCCCGUACUAACCAUGCCUAGGAAGGAAAGGAGUUGUUGUUUUAUAGAAGGGAUUGGGGUUUGGGAGAUUAGCCGGACACGAUCAGCAGGGAGAGCACAUGUGUUUUUAUGAGAAUUAUGCCGAGAUAGGUAACAGAUGAGGAAGAAAUUUGGGCUUAACUGAAGUAAUGGGGGCUGUCUGUGAAGACUUGCGGCAGUACAGCCCAGGUAAUUUGCUGAGCCUGAUGGAUGUCAGGGUCAGUCCAAGUGAAAGCGAAGAGAGGCUGGGAUGAAGGGUGCAAAGGAAUAGUAAAGAAAGCAUGUUUGAGAUCUAGAACAGAAUAAUGGAUUGUGGCGGGAGGUAUUGAGGAUAGGAGAGUAUAUGGGUUUGACACCAUGGGGUGGAUAGGCAAAACAAUUUGGUUGAUAAGGCACAGAUCUUGAACUAAACUGUAAGCCUUGUCUGGUUUUAGGACAGGUGAAAUGAGGGAAUUGUAAGGGGAGUUUAUAGGUUUUAGAAGCCCAUGCUGUAGCAGGUGAGUGAUAACAGGCUUUAAUCCUUUUAAAGCAUGCUAUGGGAUGGGAUAUUGGCGUUGAGCAGGGUAAGGGUGAUUAGGUUUUAAUUGGAUGGUAAUGGGCAUGUGAUCAGUUGCCAGGGAAGGAGUAGAGAUGUCCCAUACUUGUGGGUUAAGGUGGGGGGAUAUGAGAGGAAGACACAAAGGAGGCUUUGGGUUGGGGAGAAGGGCAGCAAUGAGAUGCGGCUGUAGUCAGGAAUAGUCAGGGAAGCAGAUAAUUUAGUUAAAAUGUCUUGGCCUAAUAAGGGAACUGGGCAGUUGUGGAUAAUUAAAAAAGAAUGCAUAAAAGAAUGUUUUCUAAGUUGGCACCAGAGUUGGGGAGUUUUACGAGGCUUAGAAGCCUGGCCAUCGAUGCCUACAACAGUUAUGGAGGCAAGGGAAACAGGCCCUUGAAAAGAAGGUAAUGUGUAGUGGGUAGCCUCUGUAUGGACUAAGAAGGGGACGGACUUACCCUCCAUUGUUAGAGUUACCUAGAGCAUCUGUGAUUGUCCUGUAGGCUUCCGAGGCGAUCAGGCAGUGUCAGUCUUCAGCUGCUAAGCCGAGAAGAUCUGGGAAGAAGUCAGUCAGAGAGCCUUAGGUCAGAGUUCCAGGGGCUCUGGGAGUGGCUGCCAGGUGAGUUGAACAGUCUGAUUUUCAGUGGGGUCCGACACAGGUGGAAUGCGCCUUAGGAGGAAUCCCGGGCUGUGGGCAUUCCUUGGCCCUGUGGCCAGAUUUCCAGCACUUGUAGCAAGCUCCUGGGGGAGGAGGUUCUGGAGGAACCCCUGGCAGCUGUGGUUCGGGCAUUUGGAGUUCUCAUGUGCUGGAGAUGUGGCUGGGGUUUGUCUCACAGCGGAGGCAAGGAAUUGCAACUCAGAAAUACGUUGCUACUUGGCUGCUUCUAUUCUAUUAUUGUACACCUUGAAGUACUCACUACUUGAUCUCCAAGGGAGAGAGAAAAAAGCAUUUUGUACAGGAAACGUCACCAGGAAUUUUACAGGCCACACAGGGAAGGAAAACUGCCUUGCCUUGAAUCCAACACAGCAGGGACCUGGGCACUGACUGGAAUAGAGAACUGAGUUCAAUGAAAGGCCCCAUGGAGCUGGCUUCAUAGGAUGAAGCUGAAAUACACCAAGAAGUAAAGGAACAACUGGGUUUCAUGACUUUAAAAGUCCAACAUUGGGAAGAAGUA